Molecule: ribosomal RNA, 253 nt
Filed under: uncultured bacterium
Lineage: Bacteria
Description: partial 16S ribosomal RNA
Rfam family: Bacterial small subunit ribosomal RNA
Source: RNAcentral
UACGAAGGGGGCUAGCGUUGUUCGGAAUUACUGGGCGUAAAGGGCUCGUAGGUGGCCCCAUAAGUCAGACGUGAAAUCCCUCGGCUCAACCGAGGAACUGCGUCUGAGACUGCGGGGCUUGAAUCCGGGAGAGGGAUGCGGAAUUCCAGGUGUAGCGGUGAAAUGCGUAGAUAUCUGGAGGAACACCGGUGGCGAAGGCGGCAUCCUGGACCGGUAUUGACACUGAGGAGCGAAAGCCAGGGGAGCAAACGGG